RNAcentral lists this ribosomal RNA (253 nucleotides) under uncultured bacterium. Its description in RNAcentral is "partial 16S ribosomal RNA". It matches the Rfam family "Bacterial small subunit ribosomal RNA", at positions 524 to 776 of the family's 1533-position model. The record is from RNAcentral.
UACGAAGGGGGCUAGCGUUGCUCGGAAUCACUGGGCGUAAAGCGCACGUAGGCGGCUUUCUAAGUCAGGGGUGAAAUCCUGGAGCUCAACUCCAGAACUGCCUUUGAUACUGGAGAGCUAGAGUCCGGAAGAGGUGAGUGGAACUGCGAGUGUAGAGGUGAAAUUCGUAGAUAUUCGCAAGAACACCAGUGGCGAAGGCGGCUCACUGGUCCGGUACUGACGCUGAGGAGCGAAAGCGUGGGUAGCAAACAAG